UUGAAUGGGGCGCAGUUGUUUCAUAAUUCCCAAUGCGUUCAAAAGAAAGCAGACUGAAAAGCCCUGUAAGGAUGGACCAUGACUCCACAGCCAAAGUUCUAUGGUUUUCAUUCUUUGCCGAAGGACCGGAGAAUCGGGAAUGGCUUGUAGGAGUUCGUCGGUCCCAAUGUUUGAACCAGUAAGGCAAAGUUGGUAUGCAACGACUGGGGGUGCCCCUCCCAGUCAACACCACCUCAUAUGAGGAAGUGCAUUGUUUAUAAGGAUUGCCUGCUACAGUUGUUUGGGAGAUAUUCCGUUUGCAGCUGAACACGCAACAAGGGGACCCUCAGCAUCAUGCAGACAUGCCCUCACUUUCAGCAUUGCUAUAAAUGGAACAGGAAGGACACUUGAAUCAGGUAGGUGAUCUUUGACCUGGUCAUAGUUUGUCCCAAUUCACCUUCUGAUCGCUAUGUUUACCAUUCUCACUUCACAUAUCAUGAGAACGGAAGUGAAAUAGAAAGAUGAAUGCAGCAAUCGGGUUGGUUCCACCAUGUUAAUCAUAACCACCAUUGAUAACGUAAGCAGUGCACUGUGUGUGUGUGUUUGUGUGUGACAAACCAGUAUCUUUGAUGAGAGGCCAGGAGCUACUCUGCCAUGCCCAUCAAGGGGGCACUGGCAAAGUUCUUACCUCCAGCCUCACCUCCUGCCUGCUCACCAACGGUCGUUGAUGGGAGGACCAGAAUUAAAUACAUCUAUGGAGACAGAUCUUCAAGACUUGCAAGAUGAUGUGAUGAAGUUCAGACUGGCUUGAUAUUGAUGUCUCUGGAUGGAGAGAGACCUGGCAUGCAACACAUCCACAAUAUGGGACUGAAGGGGAUUACUAAGAAUACAGUACAGCAGAAAUGUCCAGCAUUUGCAACACCCUUUUCGUUAUAUGUGUCACUGAUUAACGUUUCCUCAACUCUGCCUAUUUCUACAGAUGCUACAAAUGCUUUUGCCAAAUGCCAGACCUGUUCAAACAUCAACAUAGUACCUGUUUGUGUGUCAGAUAUUACCCAUCCUAACUGCCAUUGGUAAUAGAACAGUGACUAUGUGUGUAUGUGUUCUCAGAAAAAUAAAAAGAGCCAGCACAGAGACUUGGAAGAUGAUGUCCAGACUGACAGACAGGCUUUAUACUGAUGUCACUGAAUUGAGAGAGACCUGGUACUCGGCAUUAACAUUUUACUAGACACAACUUUUACUUUCAUUGUCUUUUUUAAGUUAUUGAAUUGAAUGGUGUCAGUCAAUAUGGGGAGGGAGAAACCCUGUGUAUUCUGCACCAUGAUCAGGGAACUGUUGUAUACAGGGACACCACACAGGAAGGUAUGGCCACUGACAUGUUUGCCAAGGUACUUACCACCUAACAAAAUGCCGAUAGGCACAGUAUCUGUAUCGUCUGGGA
Oncorhynchus gorbuscha (pink salmon) is the source of this 1420-nucleotide long non-coding RNA. RefSeq lists it as uncharacterized. The record is from RefSeq and is a predicted model, not a curated record. The transcript is spliced from 3 exons. NCBI's taxonomy places the organism in Eukaryota, Metazoa, Chordata, Actinopteri, Salmoniformes, Salmonidae.